This 726-nucleotide long non-coding RNA is filed under the name Marmota monax (woodchuck). The record is from RNAcentral. Lineage: Eukaryota; Metazoa; Chordata; Mammalia; Rodentia; Sciuridae.
AUAAAUAAAAUCUCUCCCUCAUUUUUUUUUUUGAGACAGUGUCCUACCAAGCUACUGAGGUUGACCUCCAGUCUGCAGUUUCCUGCUUCAGUGUCCCAGGUCACUAGGAUUAUGGGUGUGUGCUACUGAGCUUGGCUUCCCCUCAUUCUUUGUGGCCAGAACUGGUAAAAUAUCUGUCUUUCAAGCAACAUUUCGCAAGUGAGAUGGAGACAGCAGGGACUUGAAGACAUGCUGAUGGACUAGAUGCAGAGCAUGAGAAGAAAUGGAGAAUCAAGGAUAACCUAGAUUUCCGACUUAAGCAACUGGAUGGCAGGUAGCUGGACAGAAGUGUUUUUUUUCCCCUCCCUAAAUUGUGCAUGUACAUGGGUGCAUGUAUAGGGGAAGACUAGGAUUUUGGGGUGAAAUCAAGAGUUCUGUUUUGUAUCCAAGAAAUCCAUAAGACAUCUAGGUGGAGAUGUCAGACAGCAGUUGGAUAUUUAUAUUGGGAAUGAAAAGAUGAGGUAAAAAUGUACACAUAAUCAGCAAAACGAUGGUAUGUGAAUCCAUGUAGUAGAUGAGUUGGUCAUGGGGGAGUGGAUGAGAAUUGGCAGAGAGAGGACCACAGCCAGGCUCUGCGGAGCUUCAACACCUAAACUCUGGGGUAGGAGGAGGAGCUGUCAAAGGGAAACCCAGUAAGGUUAGAGGCAGGGGAAAGGCAGAAAAUCUUGUUGGCAGGGAAGACACUGG